UACCACGUGAGUAGUGCUGUGUGUACGUCGGCUGAUUGGGCUCUUGAAAACUGAGUAAUACAUUUAAAUAGUGCAAAAAUCUCCUUUCUUUUUUUCAUUUUCAGAACUAUCAGGUCAGAACUAUCAUGUUAUUGUUAUUGCUCCUAUACGCAGUCUCGAAGCUCGUAUGUUCCUACAAAAACAAUUCGAAGCCGGCCUGUGUUGAUCCCCCUCGCGCCGGAUUUGAACAAGCGCGGUCGCUAUGUUGUACGGGGGAAACACGAUCAAGGGAAGUUCCCACACUGGGCGAGAAGCCGAAGUUUACACCCUCUCCUGUAGAGCCUUGCCCUGCAUUCCUUACGUUGACAUACGCUACGAAAAAGGGAAACCACAUACGGUAGAGCUUCAGCGACGACGA
Dermacentor andersoni is the source of this 397-nucleotide long non-coding RNA. RefSeq lists it as uncharacterized. NCBI's taxonomy places the organism in Eukaryota, Metazoa, Arthropoda, Arachnida, Ixodida, Ixodidae. The record is from RefSeq and is a predicted model, not a curated record.